This 348-nucleotide unclassified non-coding RNA is filed under the name soil metagenome. RNAcentral's name for it is "partial contains 5.8S ribosomal RNA, internal transcribed spacer 2, and large subunit ribosomal RNA". The stretch from base 1 to 120 matches the Rfam family "5.8S ribosomal RNA", at positions 35 to 154 of the family's 154-position model. The record is from RNAcentral.
GAUGAAGAACGUAGCGAAAUGCGAUAAGUAAUGUGAAUUGCAGAAUUCAGUGAAUCAUCGAACCUUUGAACGCACAUUGCGCCCGCCAGUAUUCUGGCGGGCAUGCCUGUCUGAGCGUCAUUUCAACCCUCAUGCCCCUAGGGCGUGGUGUUGGGGAUCGGCCAAAGCCCGCGAGGGACGGCCGGCCCCUAAAUCUAGUGGCGGACCCGUCGUGGCCUCCUCUGCGAAGUAGUGAUAUUCCGCAUCGGAGAGCGACGAGCCCCUGCCGUUAAACCCCCAACUUUCCAAGGUUGACCUCAGAUCAGGUAGGAAUACCCGCUGAACUUAAGCAUAUCAAUAAGCGGAGGA